AGUGAGGAAUAUUGGUCAAUGGUCGCAAGACUGAACCAGCCAUGCCGCGUGCAGGAAGACGGUCCUAUGGAUUGUAAACUGCUUUUAUACAGGAAGAAACCCUCCCACGUGUGGGAGCUUGACGGUACUGUAGGAAUAAGGAUCGGCUAACUCCGUGCCAGCAGCCGCGGUAAUACGGAGGAUCCAAGCGUUAUCCGGAAUCAUUGGGUUUAAAGGGUCCGUAGGCGGCCUUAUAAGUCAGUGGUGAAAGCCCAUCGCUCAACGAUGGAACUGCCAUUGAUACUGUAAGGCUUGAAUUAUUGUGAAGUAACUAGAAUAUGUAGUGUAGCGGUGAAAUGCUUAGAUAUUACAUGGAAUACCAAUUGCGAAGGCAGGUUACUAACAAUGGAUUGACGCUGAUGGACGAAAGCGUGGGGAGCGAACAGGAUUAGAUACCCUGGUAGUCCACGCCGUAAACGAUGGAUACUAGCUGUUCGGCGCAAGCUGAGUGGCUAAGCGAAAGUGAUAAGUAUCCCACCUGGGGAGUACGCACGCAAGUGUG
RNAcentral lists this ribosomal RNA (541 nucleotides) under uncultured bacterium. RNAcentral's name for it is "bacterial SSU rRNA". It matches the Rfam family "Bacterial small subunit ribosomal RNA", at positions 353 to 896 of the family's 1533-position model. The record is from RNAcentral.